Gasterosteus aculeatus aculeatus (three-spined stickleback) is the source of this 2740-nucleotide long non-coding RNA. The record is from Ensembl. Lineage: Eukaryota; Metazoa; Chordata; Actinopteri; Perciformes; Gasterosteidae.
GAGAGAGAGAGAGAGAGAGAGAGAGAGAGAGAGAGAGUUGCUCUCAACUGGCAACCUUCAAACCCAGAACUGUGGUUGUAUUGUCAAGAUGUGAAAAACACAAAUAAACCCAGUGGUCUUCUUAAUAAAGCUUUAGUUUUAUUAUAAAUUAGUAUUAACAACCCGAACCUCCUGGCUUUCUUUAGCCUUCAUGUCCUUCGAAAACAAAAGUCUCAUUAACCCAGAGCGAAGCAGCAGCUUUUAGGAAUAACAUUUCCAAGAUACCAAAUUAUACAACCAGCACUCUCAAAAAUGCUGUAAUUCUUUUUUUUAUCACGCUUAAUACAAUAUUUUGCCUGAAUAAUGAUAUAGUUGGGGAAGCUUGGAAGUAUUUGCUAGACCGAGGGCCAUUAAGGAUCUCUAAAGACCUUUAAAAAAAACAGGCAACGGCCCUGAUGUGUCCAGAAAGAAUACACACAGAUAAUCCCGAGAGAGGGAUCCUCCUCAGCCGUUCUCCCUAACGUUAUUUCAUUUUUUCUCCCCAUAAAAGGGUUUUAUCAUUUUUUGAGUUUUUCCUGUGCCGAUGUGAGGAUUCAAGACAGAUCACAUCAUGUGUAGACUGUAAAACCCUUUGAGGCAAAUUUGUAAUAUGUAAUUGGACUACACAAAAUGAAUUGAUUUGAAUUGAAUAAUAUUGGGCCCUCCUCCUUUAAAAAAAAAAGUCCACUCCACUAUUUCGGAAUUGUCGACCUGAAAAAUAAAAAAGUAAGGAGGCUUAGCUUGGUUUGGGUUGUUAUUUUUGCUGCUUUAUAUGGGAAUUGAAAGCCAGGUCCUGGACACAGCUAGCAUGCAUUUCACAAGAACAUGUUAGAAGCGUACACAGAGGAAGCUAUAUCUAUAUAUAGAUAUAUAUAGUUGUCUCCCUGCAGAGAGACCUUUCCAUUUGGUGUUAAUCCCCAUUUAUGGACUAGGACACAAAGCCCUGGGCAGGGGGAGAUUCAGAACUGGAGACAAGCCAAUAUGAGUUGGAAAAGGCACAGAAAAAUUGAAUUCUUGUUGAGAGUUGGGCUAUAUACCGGAGAUACAAUUUGUGGACACACUAAAUGCAAAUAAAUAAUUAAUUAGUAAUUAAUAAGUUAAUUAUUAUGGAUAGCUACAAUUUCCAUGAAACAAUGUGGGCCUAGAAAAGGCAUUGACAACUAUGCGGAUCCAUGACAAGCCACAACAUUCCAAAUUCCAAAUUGUGGAAAAUGAUCUUUUACUUCAGUCAAGAAAAAUAUUUGGCAAAGCACAUCAAUAAUACAGUGUUUUUCGAUUGCUAAACGACAGUGGGCACAACUGGAGUCACAUGUGCAAAACUCUAACUACAGUCUGCACAGCAGCAGUUCAUGUGGACCAAACUCUAGUUUGUUUUUCAUUGCUUGAACACAGUUUUCAAAACUCUACACACUUAUCCAAUGACUUAUCCACAACCUGCACAACACUGUGGAUUUACAGCACUUUGUUCAAAUGCUAACACACUGCUGUCAAAACUGUGAACCACACAUCUAAAACGGAAUGUGCCUUUCAAACACUGCUGAUUGCAUUUCAGCUGAAAGGCAAAGCAGGUGUCUUGUUUUAGACUUGUUAGUGAACACACACACACACACACACACACACACACACACACACACACACACACGCGCACACAUAUACAUAUGUAUACAUACAUACACACAUAUAUAUAUAUAUAUGUGAUAUAUGUGUGUACAUACAUACAUAUAUAUAUAUAUAUAUAUACAUACAUACAUAUAUACGUACAUAAAUACAUACACAUAUAUAUACAUACAAACAUAUAUAUGUACAUACAUACAUACCAUUCAAUGAUGACACUGUGACAGGGGAGAAGAUGAACAGACCUUACAUCACAACUCAGGUUUAGUUACCUGUUACCUGAAUGCCUUGCUCAGGGAUAACCCGAUGGAAUUGACACAUUUAUUACACGUCAUUGAUUGUCUUGGAUGUUUGAAUCGAUAAUUGCAGUUUUUUCAUUUGUUAUUGUAGCAAUGACCAUUGCUUUUUGUAUUUUUUGACAGAAACGUUUAGAUUGCCAGAAAAACCUCAACAACACCAUGAUUGAUGAAUCCCAUCAGCUGCAUGUGUGUAGGUAAUCAGGUACUCAUUAAGAAGUAGUCCAAACUAAGUAUUCCACCCAGACGCACACACAAACACCGUCAUUUCCUACAUUUACCUAAAAACAACAUAUCAGUAAUUUAGUGUGUGCAGCAUAAUGGAUUCGAGUUAAUUUGAUCAUUUCAAAGCUUUGAAAAAUUUGGCCUAUGCAGGGUAUACAAGUAUGUGUGUUUAUGUCUUUGUGUGUGUGUGCGCGUGUAUGUGUAUCUGUGAGUGCAUGUUUUCAAAAUGUACUGUUUAAGUUUAAAUACACUUUUAAAAAUAAAUGAAUUAAGCUACAAUGUUCAUAAAACACUUGCCAAGAAUUGUUCCAGGCGGAAAUUCCUGACAACCAAAGAACUGUAUUCAAGGAAAUUUCAUGUUGGUGGCAUUUGCAUUACACUCCCUCAAAAAGGCAAACCCUUCAGCAUCGUGGUUUUCUUUUUUGUAAAUUAGUCAUCAUUAACAAUAACAACAUGUUACUUCUAUCUGAACUUUGAAUGAACACGCUGUAUUCAGGCAGCACAGACUGCUGCUCAAACAUUCACACUCUCAGCGAGCAUCAGAGAGAAACAGGUUCCCAUUGGUAGAGGUUCAUAGAACUAGGGUU